CAGCCAGUGGCGUAGCGGUCUAACGCAUCUCAUUAGCAAGGAGAUGGUCGUGGGUUCGAAUUCUACCUGGUUGG
RNAcentral lists this transfer RNA (74 nucleotides) under Operophtera brumata (winter moth). It matches the Rfam family "tRNA". Rfam says of the family: Transfer RNA (tRNA) molecules are approximately 80 nucleotides in length. Their secondary structure includes four short double-helical elements and three loops (D, anti-codon, and T loops). Lineage: Eukaryota; Metazoa; Arthropoda; Insecta; Lepidoptera; Geometridae. The record is from Rfam by way of RNAcentral.